Molecule: long non-coding RNA, 1510 nt
Organism: Columba livia (rock pigeon)
Lineage: Eukaryota; Metazoa; Chordata; Aves; Columbiformes; Columbidae
Exons: 4
Source: RefSeq, a predicted model, not a curated record
UGGAGAUGCUGGAGGUUCCGUGGUGGAAAAACUCUUGGACGUGGUGUGAAGGGUGCUGGAAGGUGGGAGCAGUGGUGCCCGGACCAUACACCAGAGCAUGGCUCCUGCUAACACUUUGUGGAAAUCUGCAGUCGUACAGCCUCUUCACUGAUGGCAGCAAAUACAUGCGCUGGGAGGUCAGCCUAGGUAACCUCAACAGUCCCCGCGUUGCCCUCAGGAGUCUCCAGACCUUCAAAUCUUUCCCUCAUGUUCUUCCACCAAAGGAAAAAUAGGCAGUGUAAUUAUUUUCAGAAGAGACCCGGGUGACUCCGACCGGCUUCAAGUGUGGAGGGAGCAAAAUACCAUUCCAAGCUGUUUUGAGACACCUUCCCAAGAAGAGCAAAAGACCCAGUAGCCACCCAGUCCACCUUUAUUAGAUUUUCAUACGUGCAGGGUGUAUUUUUCCGUGUAGUGCGGUGGGUUUUUCCUCCCCGUGAGCAGACAAUGAACUAGGCAGGAGAACAGUGAUAUUUUGAGAAACUCAAGCUAUGAAGAAAUAGUCCUCAUACCCCAAUAAUCCCAAGGACGGCGCGAUGACCAUGUUCGUUUUUACAGAGCUCACCCACCUCACCCCCCAUACCCCCCUUUCCCUAGAGAAACACCCCCCCAAAAAUAGAAGAAAAGAGCAACUAGGGACAGAAGCUCCUUAAUUAACAGCUCAUAGUCGAGGUGAUAAUUUUAAUCCUCUAAUCAAUAACAUUUCUAUUUUUAAAAGGCUACGCAUGCAAUAAAGGCGGCCGCGCAAAUUAAAGCGGAAAAGAGUAAAAUAAGCAAUGAAGUUGUCAGAUGUGGGCGCUUCGGGCUGGGAUUUGGGAUGAGAUGCUGCGCUUUUCCAGUCGUUAUCCCUGGAUGCAGCGAGCAAAGGUGCAGCGGGUCUUUCCGAAUAUUUAGGUUGGGAAAUGUUCAUUUUCAGUGGCUGGGAAAGGACGAACCCACCACCCCCUCUUAGAUUUCAUGAAAUAAGAUGUAUACAAUUGCCUGCUUCUUUUAUUAUUAUUAUUUUUAAGGAAAAUAUCUUGACAUUUAGUGUCUGGGCGAAGUGCUGCUCUUUGUCUUUAGUGUUUUGGCCGGGUGUAGAUGUGGGGCUGGGUGAUGUGGGGGGUGAUGUGUCUUGCGGGUGCAUGGAGCUGGAUCGGUGUGUAUUGUACUUUAAGGUGUUUCAUUGCCCCCCCCCGAUUUAUUCCCCCCCCCCCCGCUCCCUUUGCCCUGACCUUCACUGAAAAAUGUCAUUCCCUCCUUCCCCACCCCAAAAUGAGAUUUGGAGACGUGACGUGCGGAAAUAAAGAGAAAGAGGAAAAAAAAAGCGAACGCAACCACUUCAAAAUAGGCGAUUUCUCUGUGCGUUUUUGUGCAUUUACGCACUCCCCGCGGAAAAACAAAACCAAAAAAGAAGGAAGAAAAUGUACUUUAAAAAUAGCGAUUUAUGGGGGUUUUCAGCAUGGGGUGAAGGGGGGUGAAGCCAGGCACCUCC